CUCUGCAAACCUUGGCCAGCUUGGAGCAGGCACCUUUAAAAGCUUCUGUGGCAACCAGCUCCUCCUCCCUGGUCCCCUGAGGCCAUCCCAAGGAAGCUGACUUAGAGGCUCUGCGUUUUCCUGGUUUCUCAGCAAAAGGAAGAUUCCAGGGAGAGCCCAGGGGGGCCAGGGAUGGAUCUGGGAUCAGGCAGCAGCCAGGGUGGGGACUCGGAGACCACCUUCCAGCUGUGGCUGCAGCUGCUUCUCUGGGCCCACCUGGCUGUACGUUUCCUGGGCUACCUGCACCACACCUUCUGGGGGCCUAAGCCACAGCCAGCACCCUGAGCCUCCCUGGCCAGUGGGCAGAAGGCCCCCAGAUCACCCCAUCCCCCCCCACCCUUUAUUCUACCCUUUGCUGGAAGAGACAGGAAGCAGAGUGAAAGAAUUCUUAGCCAAAGCCAAAGAAGAUUUUCUUAAAAAAUGGGAAAGUCCCGCUCAGAACACAGCCCACUUGGAUCAGUUUGAACGAAUCAAGACCCUCGGCACGGGCUCCUUCGGGCGGGUGAUGCUGGUGAAACACAAGGAGACCGGGAACCACUAUGCCAUGAAGAUCCUCGACAAACAGAAGGUGGUGAAACUGAAACAGAUAGAACACACCCUGAAUGAAAAGCGCAUCCUGCAAGCCGUCAACUUUCCGUUCCUCGUCAAACUCGAGUUCUCCUUCAAGGACAACUCAAACUUAUACAUGGUCAUGGAGUACGUGCCCGGCGGGGAGAUGUUCUCACACCUACGGCGGAUCGGAAGGUUCAGCGAGCCCCAUGCCCGUUUCUACGCGGCCCAGAUCGUCCUGACCUUUGAGUAUCUGCACUCGCUGGAUCUCAUCUACAGAGACCUGAAACCGGAGAAUCUGCUGAUUGACCAGCAGGGCUACAUUCAGGUGACAGACUUCGGUUUCGCCAAGCGCGUGAAGGGCCGCACUUGGACCUUGUGUGGCACCCCUGAGUACCUGGCCCCUGAGAUUAUCCUGAGCAAAGGCUACAACAAGGCCGUGGACUGGUGGGCCCUGGGGGUUCUUAUCUAUGAAAUGGCCGCUGGCUACCCGCCCUUCUUCGCAGACCAGCCCAUCCAGAUCUAUGAGAAGAUCGUCUCUGGGAAGGUGAGGUCCGGAUGUGGGGACACAGCCCUGGAAGAAAGAGACCCUUCCCUGCUCACCCAUCCUACUCCCUGGGGAGCCCUGCUUGUUGUCAGAAUAAUCUAGAAGUUCCUUAAGUUAGGCCAGGUGGUGAAGCUGGACGCACCAGCCACACUGAGGCCAACACCUCAAGCCCCCUCGCUGUCCAGCCCCAACCCCGCGGUUCCAGAAUCCCACGGGCUUCCAAAAUCCCGAGCCUCACGGGAACUUCUUGGCCACAGAACACAAACCGUCCUGCCAGACGACCCUCCUUGUCGCUCCUCGUCCCAGUUAGUGUGAGUUUUCGCAAAUUCCAAGGCAGGAAAAUGAAUGUAUUUGGUUCCUGUUCCCAGGUGCUGUCCACAGCCUCACCCA
This 1525-nucleotide small RNA is filed under the name Pongo abelii (Sumatran orangutan). Its description in RNAcentral is "retained intron". The record is from RNAcentral. Lineage: Eukaryota; Metazoa; Chordata; Mammalia; Primates; Hominidae.